This 301-nucleotide ribosomal RNA is filed under the name uncultured bacterium. Its description in RNAcentral is "partial 16S ribosomal RNA". It matches the Rfam family "Bacterial small subunit ribosomal RNA", at positions 509 to 807 of the family's 1533-position model. The record is from RNAcentral.
CAGCCGCCGCGGUAAUACGUAGGGUGCAAGCGUUAAUCGGAAUUACUGGGCGUAAAGCGUGCGCAGGCGGUUCUAUAAGACAGAUGUGAAAUCCCCGGGCUCAACCUGGGAACUGCAUUUGUGACUGUAGGGCUGGAGUGCGGCAGAGGGGGAUGGAAUUCCGCGUGUAGCAGUGAAAUGCGUAGAUAUGCGGAGGAACACCGAUGGCGAAGGCAAUCCCCUGGGCCUGCACUGACGCUCAUGCACGAAAGCGCGGGGAGCAAACAGGAUUAGAUACCCGCGUAGUCCCUGUCUCUUAUAC